Molecule: long non-coding RNA, 452 nt
Filed under: Bos taurus (domestic cattle)
Lineage: Eukaryota; Metazoa; Chordata; Mammalia; Artiodactyla; Bovidae
Description: long non-coding RNA NONBTAT017052
Source: RNAcentral
CUUGCCCAAAGUUCUAUUCCCUUUGGGUCUUAUAUGACUCCUUAAGUGCACUCUACCAUGUCUGGACUUGACAAAAGGACCCUAAGUUCCUAAUUAAAGUCAAAGGUACAAAUGACAGACCAAAACACAUUAUUGCUUAGGUAGUUUAGAAUUCACAAGAAGGAGAAAGGGCAGGAAGAGACUUUUCACUAUGUAUCUAUUUAUAUUCUUUGAUUUUUGAGCAAGAUAACUGUUAACCUACUCAAAAAUAUUUUUAAUUAUUCUGAAAAAUGCAUAGUAAAAAUAGGAAUUGCCAGGGGGAACUUCCUGGAAGAAAUGAGCCUCAUCUAGACUAGUGCAAGGGGUGAAGAUCAACAGCAAAGGGCAGGGAACUCAUUCCAGAUGAAAAAAAGGAAGGAGUAAGCCGACAAACGCAGACUGCAGGGAACUGCGGACAGACGGGGUGAAGAGGC